RNAcentral lists this ribosomal RNA (395 nucleotides) under uncultured Verrucomicrobium sp. RNAcentral describes it as "bacterial SSU rRNA". It matches the Rfam family "Bacterial small subunit ribosomal RNA", at positions 975 to 1369 of the family's 1533-position model. The record is from RNAcentral. Lineage: Bacteria; Pseudomonadati; Verrucomicrobiota; Verrucomicrobiia; Verrucomicrobiales; Verrucomicrobiaceae.
CUAGGUUUGACAUGGACGUGGUACCCGGGGCGAAAGCUUUGGGGACCCGCAAGGGAGCGUUCACAGGUGCUGCAUGGCUGUCGUCAGCUCGUGUCGUGAGAUGUUCGGUUAAGUCCGGCAACGAGCGCAACCCUCGCCUCCAGUUACCAGCGAGUAAAGUCGGGGACUCUGGAGGGACUAACCCGUUAGGGUGGGAAGGUGGGGAUGACGUCAAGUCAGUAUGGCCCUUACAUCUAGGGCUGCACACGUGCUACAAUGCCUGGUACAAAAGGAACCAAGACCGCGAGGUGGAGGAAAUCCCUAAAGCCAGGCCCAGUUCAGAUUGGAGUCUGCAACUCGACUCCAUGAAGCCGGAAUCGCUAGUAAUGGUAGAUCAGCUACGCUACCGUGAAUAC